UAUUAGUUAGAGAGUAUUAAAAAUGAAAAAAUAAAUUUGACAUGUUUUAGCUAUGAGAACAGUAAAAUAAUAAAAUAAUUUUUCCUAAAUGCUUUUUUCGACGUCUAAAAUGGUGCUUUUUCUGACAAGAGCUUGUUUAACCCUGAAACUCAAUACUAAAUGGGGCCAUAUUUCCUUAUAUUAUAUAUCUGCCCACUUGACCCUCCUUUUCACACCCUUUCCCUGUCCUCCUUCCUUUUCACACCCUUUCCCUGUCCUCCU
RNAcentral lists this unclassified non-coding RNA (261 nucleotides) under Hevea brasiliensis (rubber tree). Lineage: Eukaryota; Viridiplantae; Streptophyta; Magnoliopsida; Malpighiales; Euphorbiaceae. The record is from RNAcentral.